GUCAGAGGCGGGGACGCGCGCUGGUCUAUUUUUGGGCAUCCGGAUGGCGACUGCGGGAAAUCGAGUUCUCAUGCUGGGGCGAAAGGACCGUCCGCCCGCUCGGAAGAGGCGAAUCUCCCACGGCAGACGUCUGGGUGUGCGAAUGCCAGUUGAGCGGGGCCUCGAGGACGCGUCACACACAGCGAGGAUUUGAGGAGGGAAGCGCCUUCCAGAGCUUCAGAGAAGAGGCAGAAGUGUGCAAACAGGAGCAGGUCCAAGAUUUGCAUGGCCAGAAGCAAUUCUUGAUCCUCUUGGCUAGAUUCGAAGAUUUGGCCACCUCCAGACGCUACCACACUCUGGGACAGUGGGAGAUUUGGAACAGCUUUGAGAAGAGCAAGGAAAAGAAAAUUUGGACAUAGACUCAUACAGAGGAAAGAUGAUGUGAGGACAGACAUCUAAGCCACGGAGCAAGGCCCUUCCCUCACAGCUCUCAGAAGGAACCAAACCUGUUGACAUCUGUUUUUUUUUUUUUGAGAUGGAGUCUAGCUCUGUCGCCCAGGCUGGAGUGCAGUAGCACGAUCUCAGCUCACUGCAGCCUCCGCCUCCCAGGUUCAAGCAAUUCUCCUGCCUCAGCCUCCCGAGUAGCUGGGAUUACAGGCACCCGCCACCACGCCCGGCUAAUUUUUAUAUUUUUAGUAGAGACAGGGUUUCACCACGUUGGCCAGGCUGGUCUCGAACUCCUGACUUCAAGUGAUCUGCUCUCCUUGGCCUCCCAAAGUGCUGGGAUCACAGGCGUGAGCCACUGCACCCGGCCCCUGUUGACAUCUUGAUCUCAGACUUCACCCGGCCCCCGAUGACAUCUUGAUCUCAGACUUCUGGUCUCCAGAAUGGUGGGAAAAUAAAUUGCUGUUUAAUCUA
Homo sapiens (human) is the source of this 897-nucleotide long non-coding RNA. The record is from Ensembl. NCBI's taxonomy places the organism in Eukaryota, Metazoa, Chordata, Mammalia, Primates, Hominidae.